This 1040-nucleotide ribosomal RNA is filed under the name Acinetobacter tjernbergiae. Its description in RNAcentral is "bacterial SSU rRNA". It matches the Rfam family "Bacterial small subunit ribosomal RNA", at positions 54 to 1088 of the family's 1533-position model. Lineage: Bacteria; Pseudomonadati; Pseudomonadota; Gammaproteobacteria; Moraxellales; Moraxellaceae. The record is from RNAcentral.
CAUGCAAGUCGAGCGGAGAUGAGGUGCUUGCACCUUAUCUUAGCGGCGGACGGGUGAGUAAUGCUUAGGAAUCUGCCUAUUAGUGGGGGACAACAUUCCGAAAGGAAUGCUAAUACCGCAUACGCCCUACGGGGGAAAGCAGGGGAUCUUCGGACCUUGCGCUAAUAGAUGAGCCUAAGUCGGAUUAGCUAGUUGGUGGGGUAAAGGCCUACCAAGGCGACGAUCUGUAGCGGGUCUGAGAGGAUGAUCCGCCACACUGGGACUGAGACACGGCCCAGACUCCUACGGGAGGCAGCAGUGGGGAAUAUUGGACAAUGGGCGGAAGCCUGAUCCAGCCAUGCCGCGUGUGUGAAGAAGGCCUUUUGGUUGUAAAGCACUUUAAGCGAGGAGGAGGCUACUUAGAUUAAUACUCUAGGAUAGUGGACGUUACUCGCAGAAUAAGCACCGGCUAACUCUGUGCCAGCAGCCGCGGUAAUACAGAGGGUGCGAGCGUUAAUCGGAUUUACUGGGCGUAAAGCGUGCGUAGGCGGCUGAUUAAGUCGGAUGUGAAAUCCCUGAGCUUAACUUAGGAAUUGCAUUCGAUACUGGUCAGCUAGAGUAUGGGAGAGGAUGGUAGAAUUCCAGGUGUAGCGGUGAAAUGCGUAGAGAUCUGGAGGAAUACCGAUGGCGAAGGCAGCCAUCUGGCCUAAUACUGACGCUGAGGUACGAAAGCAUGGGGAGCAAACAGGAUUAGAUACCCUGGUAGUCCAUGCCGUAAACGAUGUCUACUAGCCGUUGGGGCCUUUGAGGCUUUAGUGGCGCAGCUAACGCGAUAAGUAGACCGCCUGGGGAGUACGGUCGCAAGACUAAAACUCAAAUGAAUUGACGGGGGCCCGCACAAGCGGUGGAGCAUGUGGUUUAAUUCGAUGCAACGCGAAGAACCUUACCUGGCCUUGACAUAGUAAGAACUUUCCAGAGAUGGAUUGGUGCCUUCGGGAACUUACAUACAGGUGCUGCAUGGCUGUCGUCAGCUCGUGUCGUGAGAUGUUGGGUUAAGUCCC